RNAcentral lists this ribosomal RNA (138 nucleotides) under Triticum aestivum (bread wheat). RNAcentral's name for it is "partial small subunit ribosomal RNA". The record is from RNAcentral. Lineage: Eukaryota; Viridiplantae; Streptophyta; Magnoliopsida; Poales; Poaceae.
AUUGUAUGGAAGCAUACGGCUAGUGGGACCUACUCGGCGGCAUCUGCUUACAAGGCGCAAUUCUUAGGGAUGGUUCUCACACCUUUGGAUAAAAUGGUUUGGAAGGCUUGGGCCCCCCCAAAAGUCAAGUUCUUCGCU